AAGUUAGGGGCGCCGCGCGCCCCCGCCGGCCUCUUCCCGCCGCCUCGACCCCACAGCCUACUCUCCGCGCCGCCGCCUCACUGGGCCCGGCCCGCGCGUCGCCCCGCAGCCGCCGCGGCCACCAACCCCGGCGCGUCCGCCAUCUUUGUUUUCCCUGCGCGCCCCCCCGCGCCACCGCCCCCUCGUCCUCCCCAUCACGUGGGCUCCAAGCGGGGCCAAUGGGACCGCCGCCUGGAGCUAGACGGCACGGCGCCCAGAGCCAAUGGGUGCACGAAGCGCGUGAGGCCCGCCUCCUGUGGAAGGUGGGCCUGAGGGGCGGGGCCAGGACGACCCGUGGAGGGGCGCGCACCUGAGGUGAGGAAGCCCGCCUAGGGGCGAAAGAACGGCCCCUACACGCGGCAAGUCAGCGGGGUCGGGGGUCUCCCUUCGCCAUCGUGUCCCAACACUCGGGGUUGAAUGUGGCCUGGCUUUCCCGAGUGGAAGGGCACCAACUUUAAAGAGCCCGGCCGACCACCCGUCGUGUAUGGCAUAGGAUAUGCUUCUGCUGGACUCAUCGGAACUGCCCGGGGGAGGGGGCACACUUGGGACCUCUAACCCCCUGCUCUGUUCAACCCGGUUUCCUAUCCCUGGGGUUGGAGGCCGAAGAAGGGUCCACAGAGGAAAGUGAAGGUCUUAGGGAAUAGGAUUUUGCUCGCACAGACUGGAAGGCAAACAGGGAAGGGAGAUGCAUUUCUGCGAAUCGCUGCGGUACAGCCAGCCCUCCCUUGCCCUUACUAACCCAGCCAUCAGCCCGUGAAGGUCACUGCCCCAGAGGGCCACCUGCCAGGCUGGGCAACAAUAUCCGGAAUCUACUAUGUCAAAGGAGAGCAAGGGCUCUGGGGCUAUAUAUUCAAGGCACAGCAGCCCCUCCUGACAAAUGUGCCAGAAGGAGGCCAGACUGAAGGAAGCCCAUGCAUGUUCCAGCACAUCCCCUCUCUUUGUUCAGGGAAAACAGCUGAUGCCCUGGAGGCUUCAGGAAGCUCACCAAAGGCUCCUCAGUCCCUCUCAAGAAUUGGCAAAUUUCAUAUUCCUGUAGAAUUCCUAAGGUUUAUUGGAGAUCAAGUCUCUGAACCCACAACUAUGUCUUUCCCAGAAGGAGGCCCCCAAAAUGCCUGGGACCCUGGCCCUUUCAUUCUGGUCUAGGCAAGUUCCUACAGUGACUGGAGAAGAGACAGCACCUAAGCUCCAUUCCUGAUCAGUCAACCUGCAGCAAGCCCACUGUAGGAGGAGGGAAAGCCUAUUCCUAGGGGAGGAAGCUCCAGGAGCAGGCUGGUGGAAAGGAAGGUGGUAGCCAAGGGAGAAGCUCAGCCUUGCUGUGUGCAACUGUCAUUCCCACUGCAGGCGCUGUGUGUGCAGGGCCCGGCAAUAGGCCCAACUGCCUGCAGCCAGGGCCCAGCGACAGACAUCCUCCUUCGGCAGCAGCAGCAGCCUCUCCUCCUCCAGUCGGCUCAGGAGGCCUGCUACACCUAGCAUGGCACCCCCCCACAUCCCAUAAGUGUUGGCUGUGAAAAUAGCCACAAUGAGGAUGGUCACUGCGACCACCAGCAGUACUGCCUGACCAGCCACAGAGCAGCCUUCAGGGCCAAGGUGAUCACCAGCCACUGCCAGCACCAUGCCUCCGCCCAGGAGUAGGUUAGCAGAGGAGCGGUCCCCGUUCACCCAGUGGAAGUCGAAAGCCAGAAGGGGCAGGCCGAUGACUGUGGUCACCCAGGCUCCAGCGAGACAAUCUUCAUGUGUGCCCAGCCCUGGGACCAGCAUGGAGGCAGCAGCCAAAGCCUGGAGCAGGAAACCAGCAGCAGCCCCUCGACUUGACUGUUAGUGAAGGAAACAAGAGGGUAGGUGACCCCUUUAAACAGGAAAAGGUUUGGACUUCUCAUGGAGACCUGGUCCCACCUUCGCCUCCCAUCACCCUCUCUCUGGUGCAGCAAACUAGGAUUUUAGCGUGUGGGAGUGGGGUUACUUACCUGCGCAGAACUCACCGCUCCAUGAAGAGACACCAUUCCCAGCACCAGGUGGGACAGGACUGUGCUCCACUCACUCCCGGGCUUGGGGGCCAUGGCACUUGGGCAGUAAUGAGUUUGAGGAGACAGGAAAGAGAGUUUUAACUUGGAGUGGAGUAACAGAAGUCAGGGACCUGGAGCCCUAACGGCAGCUCUGCGGGAACCCCAGGUUCCAGGGUCCCAUGACUAGAUGAUAGAAUAGGUACAGUUCUAAAUUUGCCAGAGUCCCAAGGCCACUGGAAACACCUGUGCUAAAAGACUAAUUAGACUGGAAACAGCGGGAACAAAACUCGGGAGCUGGGCAGGGCGAGCAUGAGCUCAAGUAGGUGCAGGACGCGGGGGAGACCGAGCGGCGGGGCACGCAGGCCCUUGUGGCGGCCUGGGCCUAUCCCAGCACUCAGGGAAGCGCCGUCCUCGACACCCGGCCCGGAAGGACCCACGGCGCAGAUCUGUGGGCCGCCAGCCGUUCGCAGUUCUUGACGGCGGCGAGCCAGAGGCCCUGGCAGGUCCACAGCGGUCGGCCCCGCCGCCUCGGGUGGCCUCCGGAGGCCCAGGCGAGCGCGGCCGAGCGCCGCCACCAGCGAGAGGAGUCGAGGCUAGAGAGGCCGGGGCGGGGCCUGAGGGGGUCGGUCGAAGGCUCUAGGAGGACUCGAAGGCGCGAGGUCGGCACCAGCAUCAGGAGCUCGGCCUGGGCUAGUUUGUGGGCGCUGGCAUUUGGAAGGAGCUCGCCUAGCGGAGGGAUCUAGGCGGGGCUUGGGGUAGGGCGGGGCUUGGGAGGUAGGGUGGGGCGGGGCUGCAAGCGGAGCCUGGGCUUCGAGGGGCGGGGCUUCGAAAGAGGGCGGGCUGCAAGGGGUGGGGAGGUGGCGCACCUGGACGCGGAGUGCUUAGUAACGAACGAGUGGUAGGGGUCUCCGCGGAGGACGGGAGGGACUCCAAAAAGAGGUGAGGCUGCCGUGGGCGUUCUCAAUACUGACCGUCAGCGAAUUAAGAACUGGGCGGCGAGCGGCGGAGCCGUGAGCGGACGGACCUUGCGAGGUGCGGUAGCGGGAACGCCGGUUUCAGAGAACCCCCGACCACACGCCCGCCCCUCAGCCCGAGCCUUCUGCGCGCGGGAUCUGGGCCGUGGGGGCGGCCGCCGCGAGCAUGCGCAUGGGCAUUGCGGCGGGCGAGUCCGGAGUCCGGGCGCGGGGACACGGGACGCGGGGCGGCGAGUAGCGGGGUCCUCUGCCGCCCCGCGCGCCCAUGUACGCCUUCUACUCGCUUCUCAUCUACAUUUUCUACAGCCUUUUCCGCAGGGAUGGAGGUGCUACGGCGACCGCCGACCCUGGGGACCCCGCCCAGGUGAGCAGUGUGGGCCUGCCGCGCCGGUCGCCCCCCACCAGGAGAUGGGGUGGUGGUAGGCCUGCCCAGCUUACAUCCUCAGGACGCUGGCCCUGAGGGACGCGGCGGUGCAGAGGACCCUGCUCUUGGUCCGGGCAUUGGGAGCUUAGAUCUCGGCCCCAACCAUUCUGGCCCAGUUCCGGGAGGGAAGGAGCCCCACAGGCUGCCUGCCUCCUCCUCAGGGACGCCCCCUGCUCCCUUCCUAGAGAGUCCACUGCAAGCCCCGGGGUCGUCGUCGCCCCGAUCAGCUUACGCCAGAACUGUGGACCGAGCUGACAGGCCUGGCCGGUAAGUGCAGGCCAGAGUGCCUUGGGGUCCUGGAGGGAUCCUCGCUGUCUGAGGGAGGGAGGGAUUCCGUGACCUCAUUGGGAGGGAAAAGAGGCCCAGUCUGCAACGAUGACUUGAAAUGCCCCCUCCUUCUACUACUUGGCCUAGCGGGCAGCUCCGAGUCUGAGGAUGGGCCUGAAGCCGGAGCCGAGGACCGCCCAGCAGAGGUGUCACUGGAAGAGGCGCUUAUGCGCCUUGCUGAGUUCCUCUCGGUCCAGUUGGGGGCAGAAGAGAGCUGCGGGAAUCCUCCUGAGUUGGGCAAGGUGAGCAGGGCAGAGGAGCUCUCCAGCAAUCACUUCUCUUUCUUUAGCCCUUGUGACUCCCACAGUCCUGCCCCAUUCCAUCUCUGCUCUUAAUCUGCUUUCCUUAGUCCAGGGGACUGAAUUUAGGACUCUCCACAGAUUAGCUACAUCCCUGCUUUUUGUUUGUUUGUUUGUUUUGAGACAGGGUCUUGCUAAGCUGCCGAGGUGAGUUUCAAACUUGCCAUUCUGCCUCAGCCUUCCCAGUAUCUUGGAUUACAGAUGUGGGCCACCAUUCCAGGUUUCUUGCUCUGAUUCUUAUCUCCUCACAGCCUGGGGAGGUCCCUCCACUGUUGACAGUGACCAGUCAGCUCUUGGCUCUUCUGGCAUGGAUUCGGAGCCCCAGGGGGAGGCAGGUCCUGCUCCAGGGGACUCAUCCAGCCUCCAACGUGCAGCCCCCAACUCCAGAUGGUUUGUAAAGGGUAUCUUCUGUAGAGGAAGGGAAUCCCUUUAGAAUCUAGGUGGCGUACAAUCUGGGAUCCCUAGCCUAGCUUUGCUCCCCAGAAUUCAGGCCACCUCAGUACUAACUGAGCUCGCUCCUCUUUAGGAGCCCUUUCUCAAGAAGACAGCCCUUACCAGCCUACCCCUAUCCAAGAGGAGGUGCCAAGGGGUGAGGCCCAGGGGCAACAGUUGCCUCAAUUGGAGGAGGAGCAGAGAGCUUGGCAGAGGCUGGAACAGCUCAUCCUUGGACAGGUGAGGGGCCCAGAAGCAGCAGGGACUGGAGGGAGUGAGACACAAAAAAGGAGUUUCAUCCCACUCUUUUGCAGCUGGAAGAACUGAGGCAGCAGCUGGAGCAACAGGAGGAGGAGCUGGGCAGACUGCGCCUGGGAGUGGUGAGGCUGUUGGAGCAGGGGCUGGGAGAGGGCAAGAGGUUGCAGGAUUUUCAUAUGGUUCCUAAGUGCAGCUAUCUCUGCCAGGGGGCAACAGACUCAGAGAAAAGGGUUCAGCAUCUCACACUGGAGAAUGAGGCCCUGAAACAGAGCCUGAGCCUCACUCGGGACCUCCUGCUGCAUUGGGGCCCAGGCCCCCCCACCAGAGCCCCACAGGUAUCCUGCCUCUUUGUUGCUCCUCUUUGUAUACACCUGGCAUUAGCAACAGUGCCCAAGCCUCCUUAGGUCUUUGAGCUUGCUGAAGCAGUGGGAUUUAUCAGGGGGUCGUCUCUAAUAGGCAGGUCCUGGGGUGGUCUAUGCAGAGCAAGCCCAUCAGGGAGGCUGAUGCAUCUGGGAGAACCCCCACUUCAUAAUUCUCUCAGUGACCAAUUCUAGGAAAGUAGAGGGACUAGGGAAAGGAGUUCUGCCUGGAGUUGGGAGGCAUGGGUUUGUCUGUGCCUGCCACUCUUGACUUGUUUUUCUAUCUGUGAAAUGGAUCAUGGAAUGCCCCUCCCUGAGUUCACACCUGACUUGAUGGCCUACCUGGCUCCCAAUUCCUGCAGGAGGAGGCAGAGGCACUGUUGGAGCUCCAGGGCCGGCUUCAGGAGGCCCAGGACACCACAGAAGCCUUACGAGUCCAGGUGGGCUCGGGGCCCAGGGACAAGGAGGGCUGGGACACUGGGAAGGGGGCAUCUGGGAUAGGGCCUGGUAAGUGCCUGUUUCCUUAGUGACAGGGGUGGGGUUCGGUGGGGCAGCUGGGGGUGCAGGAGGUGCAGCUGCAGGGCCUUCGAGGGGCCCUUCAGCAGCUUCAGCAGGAGACGGAGCAGAACUGCAGACGGGAACUACAACAGGUGCAUGGGCAACUGGCAGGUAAGGUUUGGGAGCAUGUGGCUCAUGGAAGGCCCUGGGUUCUGGGCUUUCCCUCUCAACUAUUUUCCCACUUCAGGACUUCGGACCCGGAUGGCCAGCCUGCGCCAGGGCUGUGGUGACCUCAGAGGACUGGUCAGCACCUUUACCCAGAGCUGUCAGGGUUCGCUGAGUGAGGCCCAGGGCCAGGUCAGGAACCCUCUUCUCUUCACAUCAUCUGUCUGUCUGGGUAGCCUGUUCACUGUUCUUCCAGGGGAGUUCCUAUUAUUUCUGGAGCUUCCUGGCUCUAAGGAAUGCUCAUACUUGGGGGUCAGUUGUAGGCUUUUAGACUAGAAGAGCUUAUUUGUGACUUAUGAUCUCAUGUCUAUCCUGUGCAAACUGACAGUUGCUGAGAAGCCUAGAAGGAUAGAUAUGAUGUCCUUGUCAGGCCAACCAAAGGAUGUCCCCAGGGGACCAGAGCCACUGAAAGUUGUGAAUCACUGCAGCUGGGGGCUACAAGGGCUCUUUAUUGCUCCCAGCAUUCCACCCUGCUUGGAGACUCUGGGACACCUGUCUUUGUCAUCCUCAAAUCCAUGUUCCCUCAGGUAUCCUGGGCCCUGGGGGCAUUGUCAGCUGGAGGGGCUGGGACUCAGCUCCCUGAGGGGCAACAGGGGCCCCCAACUGGAUGCCCAGGGCGGCUGCUGGAGCUUAAGGGUAUGGCAAACUUGGGGAGCAGAGUGGCAGGGAGGGUAGGCUGGAGAGAGUGGAAGCUUUUUAUGCCUCAGUGGUGAAAAGGCAAUCUGCUGACCUGAUCCCCACUGCAGGGAAUAUUCGGGUGCUAUGUCGGCUGAGGCCAGGUACACCCUGCAGCCUGGUGAGUGUGGAGGCUGGACCAGGGGGCACAGUCACCACCUGCUAUCGAGGGCGCCAGCGUCGUUUCCACCUGGACUGGGUCUUCUCUCCAGAUGCCAGCCAGGAGGAGGUGACAGCCACCCUUGCACCUAUUCUGACCCUUCCUCAGAGUCUCCCAGAGUCCAGAAAAGGCUCCUUCCCCUUCCAGUCUGUCCACCUAUAGAAGGGAGGGUGAAUCAGUUUUAGCCUAAAAGGGAAGGGAGCAGCUAGAGGGUUGGGGAGUGGCAGCCCAGCUGGACACUAAGGAAAAUGAAUCUAUCUGAGGUUUACAGUUACUGCUCAUGUAGAACUGGCCACAGAGUACAGCUGGGUGCCACAGUGGUAGGAACAGUGCCAUGACCCACAAGUGAUGCCUCCUCUAAGGCUUCCAUGAGAGAUCAGUGCUCCUCCCUGGGGUCCAGGCUCUUCCCAGCUGGGAUUGCAUUAGCCCUCCUUGCUUUGUGGCCCUAAUGCAGGUUGGGGGCCAUGGGUGAGCAGGCCAGUGUCCAGCCCCAGCACUCCCCGACUCCCUUGCUCAGAUCCCAUUUUUUCUCCUCUUUUUUUUUUUCUGCCAGACACCAGUAGAAAAGCAGGGCUCAAGUCCCAGCCUGCCGUCACCUUUCUAAUACACGGUUUCCAUCUACAUAUAAACUUUGCUCCUGGAGCUUCUAUAACUAAAAUGGAGGCUCAGAGCUGGGAGAGGGUUAGGUAAGGGACAGGGCUGGCAGUGAUGCACACCCAGGUUGCCUGCUGGCCCGACAGGUCAUUGCACUGUGACCAAGAACCUCUCCUGUGUCUCUCAUUUCUGCACCACCACCUGCCGUGCCUCCUUUGCCCAAUCGUGGACUCUUAUCCCCCAUACUGGCAAUUUUAGAUUAUGGCUUCAUGGCCAUUAGCCAAGACUUUAAGCAGAGGUGACAGCCACCCAGUUACCAGCAACCUUCUACAGUGAAAGUUGGUUAUGUCAUUGCCCAAAAGGCCACUCUUUGUUGGUCAUGGUGGUGCACAUCUGUAAUACCAGCUACUCAGGAGGGUGAGGCAGGAGGAUUUUCAAGUUUAAGGUCAACUUGGACAACUUAGUGAGACCUUAUCUCAGAAUGAAAAAUAAUAAGAGCUGAGAUGUAGCUCAGCUCUCAGGUAGAGAAUCCCUGGGUUCAAUCCCCAAUACUACAAAAAUAAAGCAAAAAAUGAAAGCAACUAUUAUGUCUAUCCAUCUGCCCCUCAGUCACCUCUUUGCUCCCCUCAGGGCCAAGGUUCCAGUAGUCCUGGCUGGUUACUACCCUCCAUACCCCCAGAGCCUUUUCUGGUCUCAUCCUUCUCAUCCUUUGUGUGCCAAGUGCUGCUCUGGACUGCCUGGACACUGCCCACUAAGCCUCAAGACAGGUGCCAUAGAGAGGAACAACACAGAAGAGCCACAAAGAAUGAGUAAUUUGCUUCCAGUCACAUCUAGGGUUGGGACCAGGCAGUCAAGCUCCAGCACCUGGACCCUUGACCAGUGCUCCCCAGGACCACCUAAAUGGUCAUCAGGACUCCACAUUAUUUGCACAGGCUGUUCCCUUUUUGUCACGUCUCUUUCCUUCUUUGCCUCACCCAUUAUUGCAAAUACCACCUUUUCUAGGGAGGCAGAAGGUAUCUUCUGGGCAGCCCCCUGUGCUCCCCUGGAGGCGUUUCCCUAGCAAAUUGUGUUCUACACAAACUUUUUUCACUGUGCUUUCCACCUUUCAAGGUCCUAAACAGAGACCUUGGAAAGGGCUCAAGACACUUUUUCCACCUCUCCUUCAUUCAGGUCUUUGGAGAGCUGGAACCAGCUGUGCUGUCCUGCCUCCAAGGAUACAGUGUCUGCAUCUUCACCUAUGGCCAGACCGGGACUGGAAAGACAUACAGCAUGGAGGUGGGGUGGAGCUCACACGGGGGGGGGGGGGAGGCCUCAGAGGCUUGAAUGUGAGCCCAAUGGGGUAUUCCACACCACCUUCAGGGCCCACCUGAGGACCCAGGCAUAGCUCCCAGGGCGCUGCAGUCACUGUUCAGGGAAAUGGGGACUGGAGGGCAGCACCGUGUGACCCUCAGCAUGGUGGAGAUCUACAAUGAGGCAGUCAGGUCAGGGCUGUGCUGUAGGGGUGGUGGGCUACUAUUUGCCCUGGCCCAAGACUCCUGCUACCCUUAGAAUCCUGGAACCAAACUCUCCUGGUCUCCCCAGGGACCUCCUGGCCCCAGGACCUCCAGAGCGCCUAGCUGUGAGGCAGGGCCCAGCAGGACAGGGGGGAAUCCAAGUAGCUGGCCUCACCCACUGGGACGUGCCCAACCUGGAGACUUUGCACCAGGUAAAGAUGCCCUCUAAGGCCUCUCCUCUUGCUCCCAUCUGGGAUUGGGGACUGUGUACCAGCCGCGGCCUCAUCGCUCCUAACAGAUGUUGAGCCUGGGGAGAAGUAACCGGGCCACUGCCGCCACUUCCAUGAACCCACGCAGCUCCCGAUCCCAUGCUCUCGUUACACUGACGCUGUGUGCAGCUUCUCCACCGAGCGCCCCAGGCACUGCAGGUAGCAAACACUGCAAUGCCUGAGCUUUUGCAGGGUUUCCAGUGUGCCUGAAGCCUGGCCUCCCUUCAUGUAGGGCUUGCUCACCUUUGCAGGCACGCUGCACCUGGUGGACCUGGCGGGAUCUGAGCGUGCUUGGAAGGCGGGAGCUACUGGCACGCAGCGAGGAGAUCCCAACAGUGCCCAGCGUCUGCGGGAGGCCCAGACUAUCAACCGCUCGCUGCUGGCGCUGGGAGGCGUGAUGGCUGCGUUGCGUGCCCGCCGGUCCCACGUGCCCUUCCGCGACUCGCAGCUCACACGUCUGUUGCAGCCUGCGCUUGGUCCGGGUACCACUGCUGUGCUGCUUCUACAGGUGUGCGCCCCGGCAGCAGCGGGUGGAGUGCAGGAGGGUCCUUUGUGUGUGAAGCACCGCAGGCUGGCCCACAAGCACUUUUCCUCCUCAGAUCUCUACGCGGCCAGAGGAUCUCGGGGAGACCGUCUGUUCGCUCAAGUUUGCGGAGCGAGUGGGUCAGGUGGAGCUGGGACCAGCACGGCGCCGCAAGGCACCACGCUCCGAGACCCCAUCCUCCCUCAGUACCGACACCCCACUUACUGGGACCCCCUGCACUCCUACGAGGUCUCCUGUCAGCCCUCCAAGCCCCAGCCCUGACAGCGGCUCAUGCUCUGCCCUAGGGCCCUCAGGGGACCUUCCCCCCUAGUCUUGGGUGGAGGCCCUGCACAAGAGACCUGGGGAUAUAACUCUGCUGGCAGAGGCAGCAGUACAGUUCUUAUAUCGGGUCUCCCAAGACAAUCUUCUUGACUUCUGGGGGCCUACUUCUCUCCAAACUUCCAGAGUUGCUCCCCACAACCCCAGCCAGAGAAGAGCCUGGAGAAUUGAUUUUGCCCCACCCCACUGAGUCAGAGGCCCUCAGCUCCCUCCUUAUCACCAUUUGCCGUUAUCACAGCACACAGCAGGGGAUCCCAGAGCCACAGGAACCAGACAUGACUCUGGCCAAGGAGUUUCCCAGGUCACCACCUCUGCUCCAAAAAUAAGACUAGGCAUUAAAAUGCUGUAAAUUCUUUUAAUGUUACACCACUACCACCACUUCAAGUCUAUGUAGGGUCCAGUUUUUAUUCCCUAACCCUUUCCCCAAAAGGUGCUACCUCCUCAGACAGUUGAGGGAUGGCAGGACUUCAGGCUGGACCCACCAUUAAGGAGCUCCCUCCCCCAGCCUGGAGCCAGGAGGGAGGUGACAGAUGGUGAUGGAUGAAUAGAUAGAUGGGCUAGGCCUGAAGAUAGAAUCAUGAUUUGCUACUCCAGGUUGAGUCCUGCUCCUUUAGCAUUGCCCCUGGGUGUAGGGGGAGGCAGAGAGGCAAGACUGACCAAGCCCAGGUUGGUGCCCAGCUGAGUGGCAGCUUUUUCUGGAGCAGCCCAAUAAACAUUGUGGACUCUCAUUAAGCAAGGCUGGAGCCUAUUGGGGCUACAGACAUCUUCCUACCUUGGUUCCCCAUCAAGGAGAUGGGGAGAGAAGCAACCCCUGCUCUAGAAAGCUUCAGAGGCUGUACCAGGAAAGCAGCCAGCCUGGAGCAGGGGCAGCCAUGUCACGAGGGUGGCUGACCCACACAUCAUAGAUGCUCUUGUUGGGUGGUACUCCCUGGAAGAGAGUGUCUAGAUCCCAGAGCAGCCUUGGGGACCCUUGGGAUUCAGAGGCCACCCCCCAGUAGGCUGGGCUGGUUGAAGGUGGACACUGGGGACAGGAAGUGGAUGGUAGUGGGGCUAAAGGCAUUACCACAUUGGGUGUGUAGAUGGGCAAGUAGGAGGUGGGCAACUGUCCCCACAGGGAGGCCCUGCAUCCCCCACUGGACAGUACCCC
RNAcentral lists this long non-coding RNA (11038 nucleotides) under Marmota monax (woodchuck). Lineage: Eukaryota; Metazoa; Chordata; Mammalia; Rodentia; Sciuridae. The record is from RNAcentral.